RNAcentral lists this ribosomal RNA (402 nucleotides) under uncultured Acidovorax sp. RNAcentral's name for it is "bacterial SSU rRNA". It matches the Rfam family "Bacterial small subunit ribosomal RNA", at positions 984 to 1382 of the family's 1533-position model. The record is from RNAcentral. Lineage: Bacteria; Pseudomonadati; Pseudomonadota; Betaproteobacteria; Burkholderiales; Comamonadaceae.
ACAUGUACGGAAUCCUUUGGAGAUAGAGGAGUGCUCGAAAGAGAACCGUACACAGGUGCUGCAUGGCUGUCGUCAGCUCGUGUCGUGAGAUGUUGGGUUAAGUCCCGCAACGAGCGCAACCCUUGUCAUUAGUUGCUACAUUCAGUUUGGGCACUCUAAUGAGACUGCCGGUGACAAACCGGAGGAAGGUGGGGAUGACGUCAAGUCCUCAUGGCCCUUAUAGGUGGGGCUACACGCGUCAUACAAUGGAUGGUACAAAGGGUCGCCAACCCGCGAGGGGGAGCCAAUCCCAUAAAGCCAUUCGUAGUCCGGAUCGCAGUCUGCAACUCGACUGCGUGAAGUCGGAAUCGCUAGUAAUCGUGGAUCAGCAUGCCCGCGGUUCCGAAUACGUUCCCGGGCCUU